AUAUAAAUUUAACUAUAUAAAUAUA
This 25-nucleotide transfer RNA is filed under the name Halictus parallelus. RNAcentral describes it as "tRNA-Leu". Lineage: Eukaryota; Metazoa; Arthropoda; Insecta; Hymenoptera; Halictidae. The record is from RNAcentral.